RNAcentral lists this ribosomal RNA (425 nucleotides) under uncultured bacterium. RNAcentral's name for it is "bacterial SSU rRNA". It matches the Rfam family "Bacterial small subunit ribosomal RNA", at positions 354 to 796 of the family's 1533-position model. The record is from RNAcentral.
GUUGGGAAUCUUGGACAAUGGGGGAAACCCUGAUCCAGCCAUGCCGCGUGAGUGAUGAAGGCCUUCGGGUUGUAAAACUCUUUCGCGCACGACGAUAAUGACGGUAGUGCGAGAAGAAGCUCCGGCUAACUUCGUGCCAGCAGCCGCGGUAAUACGAAGGGGGCUAGCGUUGUUCGGAAUUACUGGGCGUAAAGCGCGCGCAGGCGGCUAUCCAAGUCAGUGGUGAAAGCCCGGAGCUCAACUCCGGAACUGCCAUUGAAACUGUUUAGCUUGAGUAUGAGAGAGGUGAGUGGAAUUCCCAGUGUAGAGGUGAAAUUCGUAGAUAUUGGGAAGAACACCGGUGGCGAAGGCGGCUCACUGGCUCAUUACUGACGCUCAGGCGCGACAGCGUGGGGAUCAAACAGGAUUAGAUACCCUUGUAGUCC